RNAcentral lists this non-coding RNA (21 nucleotides) under Rattus norvegicus (Norway rat). Lineage: Eukaryota; Metazoa; Chordata; Mammalia; Rodentia; Muridae. The record is from RNAcentral.
CUGGAUGGAGUCUAUUUGGUC